This 277-nucleotide ribosomal RNA is filed under the name uncultured bacterium. RNAcentral's name for it is "partial 16S ribosomal RNA". It matches the Rfam family "Bacterial small subunit ribosomal RNA", at positions 82 to 354 of the family's 1533-position model. The record is from RNAcentral.
CCGUUGCCGGCGACCGGCGCACGGGUGAGUAACACGUAUGCAACCUGCCCGUGGCAGGGGGAUAAGCGGGGGAAACCCCGUCUAAUACCGCGUAACGCGGCCUUGGGGCAUCCCAAGGCCGCCAAAGGGAGCAAUCCCCGGCCACGGAUGGGCAUGCGGCGCAUUAGCUAGUCGGCGGGGUAACGGCCCACCGAGGCGACGAUGCGUAGGGGUUCUGAGAGGAAGGCCCCCCACACUGGUACUGAGACACGGACCAGACUCCUACGGAAGGCAGCAG